AAAAAAAAAAAAAAGGCAGGUAGACGGGUUUUAUUUGACCUGUAAGUUGUGUAUGUGUGUGAAAGAAAGAGAAGUGCAUGCAAGUGUGAUUUUUAGAACACCAGUAUUGUACUCAUAUUUGACCCAAAUUCUCAUUGUGGAUUAAGAGUGUAGUUGUGACAUAGCAGCACAUCUUCAAGGACCUGAGGCCUGUGCUUAUUGAACUUCCACCACCUCACAAGGGCAUGAAGGUUUGUUGACUGCAAGCUCACAGUGACCUUGUUCACAUACACAUGCAUGCAGAAAGAAAAUCGUUGCACACAAGGUCUGAAUAUUCCACAAGUCAGUAACGUCAUAAUUAGAUGUUUGGGGGCGCAGGGCAAUUAGUGAGUGUGUCACCUUCACUGAUGAGCUGGAAAAUAGAGCUGUCCAUGGAACUGAGUGCUGAACGUAUUCACAACUUUGACAGUGCAGCCUAUUUUUUUUUCUUCCUUGUAAUCUUUUUUUUAUUUUAUUUUUUAAAUUAACUAUUGAUUGCAGGAAAUGAAUGCUUUAACUUCAUUUUUGUUCAGGCUCUUUGACCCAUAGCAAGUUUGAGUUCUAAAGAGGGUUUGAUUCGACAAAAGAAUGUUGAAAAACUCCACCUGAGGCUAUUGGUGCCUUCUUACCUGAGAGUCAAAAGCUGAAAAGCACAUACUGAAGGAGGACAGUCAUUUUGGGAAAUAAGUGUAUCCCUCCCAUGCUUGUCAUUUUGGACAGGUACGCCUGUCUCUUUACUAAUUUUCACUGAAUUGGGCCAUUCCUGUCUUCUGGAAAGCAAGGUAUUUAUGAUGUAUAUAGUUGUAUGGACAUUUUUUUCUUCUGUAACUAAUAUGUAAUCAACACAUGACUUCUGUUUGACCUUUUACAAUAAGGCCACUGUAUGCCUCAACACGAUUGACCUCUGAGCUUUUCCUGAGUCAGCCACAUGCUGCAAAGGAGAGUGCUGGAGGGUUCAUUGUACAUAUAGAAACAUGUAUAGUUAGUAAAUGGAGUAAGUGGGACUUCUGGCCAGUAUGCGUUAAAGCCACAACAGUAACAGAGCUCCAGAUCUUAAUGAGCAAACCAACUGUUCACCUUGCCAUGUCCGUCCUGUAGCAAGACCUAAGCUGCACCUGCCUGUAGUUCUGCAUGAUCAGACUUCAGAGUAUAACCAACACAGUCUGUAAUGUAUUGGUGUUGAUAAACAUAGUUUUAAAAAGAAAAAAGAAAAAAAAGAAGAAGAAGAAAAAAACUAACUAACUAAAAAAACUCAUCCAACAAAAGAAAAUCAACAGUUGAGAACGCAGACUGGAAAUGGAGAUGUGUCACAUUGUGUUAAACGGUGAUGGCUGAAAGCAGUGUUAGCACCAAUGGACUGCAGUAGUGACGCCUGUAAGGAUCCAACUUUAUUUCUGUACUGUUCUGUUCUUACCAUGUUGCUUUUGACUGUCUGUUGUUCCCUGUGCAAAGUACAGGGGAGAACUUUGCCUCUGUCAUCCCUGUUUUAUGGGUCAAUGUUACAUCAAUUAUUUCUGAUUUCUAUUCAUUUGGCAAUUACCAAACCACAAUGGGAACUUCAUUUUCCUUGUGUGUUGGAAGGAAUCCCGUCAGAGCUACUCUUGAGGACACUUCUUACUGCUGCCCUGGCUCCUGUCGGCUGAAUGACUUUGCAGCAUUCCCAGUAAACAGCACAAUGCAGCAAACCAUAUUUUGAGGGCUUCAUUAAAUGUGCUGUGCAUCUGUACUCACUGGGGCUCAAAGUCACACAGGGACAGGACUCGGUUAAACAUGGUAUGUACUCUAUGCAUGACGCCUAUAUUACACCUUUAUGACCUUAUAGGGGGAAAACUGCUGGUCUUUUCAGAUGUGGGUUUGGACUGUUUUUUUCUGGAGCAAAGGUGUAUGAAUCCCUAUGCUACACACCGCAUGCUCCUGCCCAGAGCAGCUCGUGGGAGCUGAGGCGGUGCAUGGGCUGCCCAGGGGCCAUGCACAGAGGUGAACCUCAUGCUGUCUGAAUGUUUCCUUGCCAAAAAGCCUGUAUGUAUGUCAAGCAGGGGAGACCGUGGCUGUUCUAUAAGGAGUGUUUGUGUUGUUUACUUUACAACAAGCUUUGCUAAUUAAAAUAGUGUAUUCUGGAGUCCUAUGUGAAUGGCAUGAGGGGUGUCAAUGACAAAGAGGCAAAGUCUGCUCACCUGCUGUCCUGUUGCUGUACUUCUCACUAGGGGACUCAGCUGUAAACACGUGGAAACUGCCAAGUUUGCAAAAUCCAGUUAGUUCUCUGGCUGAUGCAUUCCAUAGGCUUAACUCUGCCAGCGACCAUUCAUUUUAAAAGGCAUUUAGAAGGCUGAGAGUGUGUAAGGGCACCUCAGCACCAAUCAGACUCUCUAGUUUUACAUAGCUUAAGUUUAUUCCUCUGGUUCACAGACUAAAAAUACUGAAAAAUUUGCAAGGUGACAGGACGGAAGGAAGGAAAGCUGCCAUCUAACAGCUAUUCCUUCUUCCAUCUCUAUCCCCCAUUAUAAAUAUAUGUAUAAAACUAAAACAAGCAAAUGAAACAGAGUGAAAAGAAACACGCACCAUUUGCAGUCACUGUUUGUGGCUGAAUUUUCACACAGGUGUAGGCAUUUCACUCUGUUUCAAGUAAAAAAACAAACAAACAAACAGAAAGAUGAGAGAAGUGCUGCCUUUUAGAAAAAAAUGGCUUUUCCUCCCUUCUUGCACAAGAUCUCUGCUUCAUCCAACUGAGUCAAACCAUCAUACACAAUGCACAUUUUUAUGUUUGGAUUUAUUGUGAGAUUUAAAAAACAACCACAACAAAGGGGUUUGGGAAGGGCUAUGGAAAAAAAAUGGGUUUAAGUACCUUGUAAGCAAUAUCAAGGGGGAAAUUCUUAAAAGUCCAUAGUUAAGUGAUCUUCCAAAUUAACAUAGAGAAAUGGUGCUCUUGCUCUAACUUGCUAAAACAGGAAAACUUUCAAGGUUUAUUGUUCUCCCACUUUGUGUAUGCAGAGAUCGUCUAUGCUAAAAUGCAGUACAAACCUCUGACUUCAUUUGGCAAGGGAAAUUUGGAUUUGUGAUUCUUGCUGCCAAAUGGGAGAGAUGGGGAGCCACUUGUUUUUAUUGGCCAACAUUUGAGAAUCUUGAAGAUCUAUCUUUUCUUGAGAAGUUUGCCCUUUUUAGGACUUUUAGAACUCUUACACAUCAUUGAAUCCCUAUCUGAAGCUGUGAGUGUGAUUUCUCUUCAAAUAAACCCCGAGCCCAAAAUUCUACAAAAUCUGAAGUUGUAUUUGAAUAUGACAAUCUGAUAGAAUACUCCUUGCUAUUACACAGCAGUACAUUUAUAGAGGCAGACCAGCUUUGGAAUUGUUCUCCUUUUGUCAGCUGGUGAGCUGGCCCAAACACCCUCUGAUGAUGAGGGUUAGGGUAUGUUAUAUGUCGGUGAGCUGCAGUGGAUCAAUGAAUCAGAGCUGAAGGAUGGAGAUGGAACAAUCUCUGCAAGCCUGCCACUCUCUGCAUGGGACAGAUGAACGGGAUGAAGAAAGAAGGGAAGCAACAUCUAUCUUUGAAACAGCCUUGCAGCAUAGCGCCAUACUGCUGACUGUAGGGCUGUAUGGACACAGCUGUUCCAUUGGUGGAGGAAGAUGCUUGAUAUGGGCAGAGAGUGCCACCUAAAGGCAAAAAAUGUGCUGACGGUUCCACCUAGAGCCAAUAUCGGAGAGCCCUUCAGCACAUCAGCCACCUGCUUGUUGCAGUUCUUCUCCAGCCAGACUGAUGCUGGGGACUUCAUCGUGUUCUCGAUGGUCUGGAACAUUUCUUGGGCAAUUCGACAUUUUCAAUUACAGAUGAAAACUUCUUCUAGGACAACAUACAGAGAUGCAUCUCCAUAGACAUGCUAAGCAAGCAAGCACCUCUUCCCUUCAGUUAGCUCAGCCAUCAGGCAGCAGAGUUUUCAGGCAAACACCGUCACAGAGAAAUGGCUUUGGGUUAAGAUAAUUCCAACGCAAGUACCUGCUCCAUUUUUUUGUUGGUUGUUGGCUUAGUGCUGUUGUUUGCUUUUUUUUCUUUUUCCAACCAGUUUAACAGAAAGGGAUUCUCUGAGGUUACCUUAAAUGCACCUUCCUCCAAUUUCUUCUUUUAUGGAUAAAUUAUACUGUGUUUAGCACAGUGCAAUUCCCAAACAGGAAAUGUUGCUAAAUUCAGUUUGCUGUUCUUCGAGGAGUCAUCUUUGAGAGCUUUGCCCUGGUGGCAUAUGGACCAUCUCCAGCCAUUCCAGUUAUACUUAAGA
This is a non-coding RNA of Meleagris gallopavo (turkey), 4282 nucleotides long. Lineage: Eukaryota; Metazoa; Chordata; Aves; Galliformes; Phasianidae. The record is from RefSeq and is a predicted model, not a curated record.